AGCAGGGUGGCACAGUGGUAAGGAGCACGGCUCGUAACCGGAAGGUUACUGGUUCAAUUCCCCACUAAGGCACUGCUG
This is a non-coding RNA of Megalops atlanticus (tarpon), 78 nucleotides long. The record is from the annotation of a GenBank genome assembly. Lineage: Eukaryota; Metazoa; Chordata; Actinopteri; Elopiformes; Megalopidae.